UCAAGCGCGAGAAGGGCGUUUGGUGGAUGCCUUGGCAGUAAGAGGCGAUGAAGGACGUGAUACUCUGCGAUAAGUCCUGGGGAGCUGAGAAUAAGCUUUGAUCCAGGAAUUUCCGAAUGGGGCAACCCACCUGAAAGCUCGUUAUAAUUGCUGACGUCGGACUCGUCCGACGAAAGCAGCCUAUAACGGGUUUAAACAGGUACUUUUGACCUGAAUACAUAGGGUCUUAAGAGCAAACCCGGGGAACUGAAACAUCUAAGUACCCGGAGGAAAGGACAUCAAUAGAGACUCCCCUAGUAGCGGCGAGCGAACGGGGACCAGCCGAGUCCUGAGAGUGACCAGAAUGAUCUGGAAAGAUCAGCCAUAGCGGGUGACAGCCCCGUAUGGGAAGCUCAAUGGAACGUAUCAAGUAGGGCGGGACACGUGAAAUCCUGUUCGAAGAUCGGAGGACCACCUCCGAAGGCUAAGUACUCCUUACUGACCGAUAGCGAACCAGUACCGUGAGGGAAAGGUGAAAAGCACCCCGACGAGGGGAGUGAAACAGUACCUGAAACCGGACGCCUACAAUCAGUCGGAGCCUCCUUGCGAGGUGACGGCGUACCUUUUGUAUAAUGGGUCAUCGACUUGGUCUAUCUAGCAAGCUUAAGCCGUUAGGUGUAGGCGCAGCGAAAGCGAGUCUUAAUAGGGCGUUGAGUUAGAUGGAUCAGACCCGAAACCGAGUGAUCUAGGCAUGACCAGGAUGAAGAUACGGUAACACGUAUUGGAGGUCCGAACCCACACCUGUUGAAAAAGGUCGGGAUGAGUUGUGCCUAGGGGUGAAAGGCCAAUCAAACUCGGAGAUAGCUGGUUCUCCGCGAAAUCUAUUUAGGUAGAGCGUCAUCCGAAUACCCCUGGGGGUAGAGCACUGGAUGGGUAAUGGGGCCCCACAGGCUUACUGAUCCUAACCAAACUCCGAAUACCAGGGAGUACUAGAUGGCAGACACACGGCGGGUGCUAACGCCCGUCGUGAAGAGGGAAACAACCCUGACCUCCGGCUAAGGCCCCCAAUUCAUGGCUAAGUGGGAAAGCAAGUGGGACGACCAAAACAACCAGGAGGUUGGCUUAGAAGCAGCCAUCCUUUAAAGAUAGCGUAACAGCUCACUGGUCUAAUCAAGUUGUCCUGCGGCGAAGAUGUAACGGGGCUCAAGCCAUGAGCCGAAGCCGAGGAUGCGCAUAGCGCAUGGUAGCGGAGCGUAGUGUGACAUAGGA
This 1248-nucleotide ribosomal RNA is filed under the name Salipiger marinus. RNAcentral's name for it is "bacterial LSU rRNA". It matches the Rfam family "Bacterial large subunit ribosomal RNA", at positions 1 to 1253 of the family's 2925-position model. The record is from RNAcentral. Lineage: Bacteria; Pseudomonadati; Pseudomonadota; Alphaproteobacteria; Rhodobacterales; Roseobacteraceae.